UAUUGGGAACAGAAUUAAUAUUAGAUGCAUGUAAAUCUGGAACCGUGUCUGUGUUUAAGUGCUUAAUUAUUGUUUCUGAAAGGCCCACUGAUGGAGCUGGUAAUGUUAUAAGAAAGAUUUGCAGCAGUAGUACAUUCUUAGACCCUGGACAUGAACAAGGAGAGGCUGAAUGUCCACUUGCCAAGAAUGCUGUAGAAGAAAUUUCCG
This is a long non-coding RNA of Panthera uncia (snow leopard), 207 nucleotides long. RefSeq lists it as uncharacterized. The transcript is spliced from 3 exons. The record is from RefSeq and is a predicted model, not a curated record. Lineage: Eukaryota; Metazoa; Chordata; Mammalia; Carnivora; Felidae.